AUGACUACUAUCCCAGAUACGUCGUGGUAUGGAAUUCUUUGGACUACAAGAUCAAACCAAAUAGUAGAACAGGGUCUCAUAAAUAAUGUUCAACAAAUUGGAAUUCAUUUAGCAACCGAUUUUUAUCUUCCGUUUGAACUCAUUUCCAUAAUUCUUCUAGUUUCUUUAAUAGGUGCAAUUACUAUGGCUCGGCAAUAA
Molecule: ribosomal RNA, 198 nt
Filed under: Triticum aestivum (bread wheat)
Lineage: Eukaryota; Viridiplantae; Streptophyta; Magnoliopsida; Poales; Poaceae
Description: partial small subunit ribosomal RNA
Source: RNAcentral